CCUACGGGUGGCAGCAGUGAGGAAUAUUGGUCAAUGGCCGGAAGGCUGAACCAGCCAAGCCGCGUGAAGGACGAAGGUGCCAAGCAUUGUAAACUUCUUUUGUCAAGGGACAAAAUCAGGCUCGAGAGCCUGACCGAGGGUACUUGAAGAAACAGCAUCGGCUAACUCCGUGCCAGCAGCCGCGGUAAUACGGAGGAUGCGAGCGUUAUCCGGAUUUAUUGGGUUUAAAGGGUGCGUGGGCGGACAGUUAAGCCAGCGGUAAAAGCCCGGGGCUAAACCCCGGCGAGCCGUUGAAACUGGUUGUCUUGAGAUGUCGAGAGGUAUGCGGAAUGCGCAGUGUAGCGGUGAAAUGCGUAGAUAUUGCGCAGAACUCCGAUUGCGAAGGCAGCAUACCGGCGGCGAUCUGACGCUGAGGCACGAAAGCGUGGGUAGCGAACAGGAUUAGAUACCCGAGUAGUC
RNAcentral lists this ribosomal RNA (459 nucleotides) under uncultured bacterium. Its description in RNAcentral is "partial 16S ribosomal RNA". It matches the Rfam family "Bacterial small subunit ribosomal RNA", at positions 338 to 795 of the family's 1533-position model. The record is from RNAcentral.